This 163-nucleotide ribosomal RNA is filed under the name Rosengurttia monandra. RNAcentral describes it as "Chascolytrum monandrum 5.8S ribosomal RNA". It matches the Rfam family "5.8S ribosomal RNA". From Rfam's summary of the family: 5.8S ribosomal RNA (5.8S rRNA) is a component of the large subunit of the eukaryotic ribosome. It is transcribed by RNA polymerase I as part of the 45S precursor that also contains 18S and 28S rRNA. Lineage: Eukaryota; Viridiplantae; Streptophyta; Magnoliopsida; Poales; Poaceae. The record is from RNAcentral.
CACACGACUCUCGGCNACGGAUAUCUCGGCUCUCGCAUCGAUGAAGAACGUAGCGAAAUGCGAUACCUGGUGUGAAUUGCAGAAUCCCGCGAACCAUCGAGUCUUUGAACGCAAGUUGCGCCCGAGGCCAUUCGGCCGAGGGCACGCCUGCCUGGGCGUCACG